Molecule: transfer RNA, 74 nt
Filed under: Corynebacterium canis
Lineage: Bacteria; Bacillati; Actinomycetota; Actinomycetes; Mycobacteriales; Corynebacteriaceae
Also listed under: 2 other names
Description: tRNA-Val
Rfam family: tRNA
About the family: Transfer RNA (tRNA) molecules are approximately 80 nucleotides in length. Their secondary structure includes four short double-helical elements and three loops (D, anti-codon, and T loops). Further hydrogen bonds mediate the characteristic L-shaped molecular structure. tRNAs have two regions of fundamental functional importance: the anti-codon, which is responsible for specific mRNA codon recognition, and the 3' end, to which the tRNAs corresponding amino acid is attached (by aminoacyl-tRNA synthetases). tRNAs cope with the degeneracy of the genetic code in two manners: having more than one tRNA (with a specific anti-codon) for a particular amino acid; and 'wobble' base-pairing, i.e. permitting non-standard base-pairing at the 3rd anti-codon position.
Source: RNAcentral
GCGCGUUUAGCUCAGCGGGAGAGCGCUUCCCUGACACGGAAGAGGUCACUGGUUCAAUCCCAGUAUCGCGCACC